RNAcentral lists this ribosomal RNA (178 nucleotides) under Paramecium quadecaurelia. Its description in RNAcentral is "partial 5.8S ribosomal RNA". It matches the Rfam family "Bacterial large subunit ribosomal RNA", at positions 162 to 395 of the family's 2925-position model. The record is from RNAcentral. Lineage: Eukaryota; Ciliophora; Oligohymenophorea; Peniculida; Parameciidae.
AUAUACAAGAACCCUUAAAAAUUUUAUGAAGCGAAACAUCGUAGUAAUAAAUCUAAGACAGAAUUCAACUGAGAUGUUAAAGUAACGGUGAGUGAAACAAAGUAGCUCAAAAAUUAGAAGAGAGGGCUGAACUACUUGGAAAAGUAGGCUACAGAGGGUGAUAGCCCCGUAAGCUCUU